AUUGAACGCUGGCGGCAGGCCUAACACAUGCAAGUCGAGCGGUAGCACAGAGAGCUUGCUCUCGGGUGACGAGCGGCGGACGGGUGAGUAAUGUCUGGGAAACUGCCUGAUGGAGGGGGAUAACUACUGGAAACGGUAGCUAAUACCGCAUAACGUCGCAAGACCAAAGUGGGGGACCUUCGGGCCUCAUGCCAUCAGAUGUGCCCAGAUGGGAUUAGCUAGUAGGUGGGGUAAUGGCUCACCUAGGCGACGAUCCCUAGCUGGUCUGAGAGGAUGACCAGCCACACUGGAACUGAGACACGGUCCAGACUCCUACGGGAGGCAGCAGUGGGGAAUAUUGCACAAUGGGCGCAAGCCUGAUGCAGCCAUGCCGCGUGUGUGAAGAAGGCCUUCGGGUUGUAAAGCACUUUCAGCGGGGAGGAAGGCGAUAAGGUUAAUAACCUUGUCGAUUGACGUUACCCGCAGAAGAAGCACCGGCUAACUCCGUGCCAGCAGCCGCGGUAAUACGGAGGGUGCAAGCGUUAAUCGGAAUUACUGGGCGUAAAGCGCACGCAGGCGGUCUGUCAAGUCGGAUGUGAAAUCCCCGGGCUCAACCUGGGAACUGCAUUCGAAACUGGCAGGCUAGAGUCUUGUAGAGGGGGGUAGAAUUCCAGGUGUAGCGGUGAAAUGCGUAGAGAUCUGGAGGAAUACCGGUGGCGAAGGCGGCCCCCUGGACAAAGACUGACGCUCAGGUGCGAAAGCGUGGGGAGCAAACAGGAUUAGAUACCCUGGUAGUCCACGCCGUAAACGAUGUCGAUUUGGAGGUUGUGCCCUUGAGGCGUGGCUUCCGGAGCUAACGCGUUAAAUCGACCGCCUGGGGAGUACGGCCGCAAGGUUAAAACUCAAAUGAAUUGACGGGGGCCCGCACAAGCGGUGGAGCAUGUGGUUUAAUUCGAUGCAACGCGAAGAACCUUACCUGGUCUUGACAUCCACAGAACUUUCCAGAGAUGGAUUGGUGCCUUCGGGAACUGUGAGACAGGUGCUGCAUGGCUGUCGUCAGCUCGUGUUGUGAAAUGUUGGGUUAAGUCCCGCAACGAGCGCAACCCUUAUCCUUUGUUGCCAGCGGUUCGGCCGGGAACUCAAAGGAGACUGCCAGUGAUAAACUGGAGGAAGGUGGGGAUGACGUCAAGUCAUCAUGGCCCUUACGACCAGGGCUACACACGUGCUACAAUGGCAUAUACAAAGAGAAGCGACCUCGCGAGAGCAAGCGGACCUCAUAAAGUAUGUCGUAGUCCGGAUUGGAGUCUGCAACUCGACUCCAUGAAGUCGGAAUCGCUAGUAAUCGUAGAUCAGAAUGCUACGGUGAAUACGUUCCCGGGCCUUGUACACACCGCCCGUCACACCAUGGGAGUGGGUUGCAAAAGAAGUAGGUAGCUUAACCUUCGGGAGGGCGCUUACCACUUUGUGAUUCAUGACUGGGGUGA
RNAcentral lists this ribosomal RNA (1463 nucleotides) under uncultured Klebsiella sp. RNAcentral describes it as "bacterial SSU rRNA". It matches the Rfam family "Bacterial small subunit ribosomal RNA". Lineage: Bacteria; Pseudomonadati; Pseudomonadota; Gammaproteobacteria; Enterobacterales; Enterobacteriaceae. The record is from RNAcentral.